AUGCAUAGGAAUCUACCUAGUAGUAUAGGAUAGCCACUAGAAAUGGUGGGUAAUACUGUAUAAUCCCUGCGGGGGAAAGAUUUAUCGCUACAUGAUGAGCCUAUGUUAGAUUAGCUAGUUGGUGGGGUAAUGGCCUACCAAGGCAGUGAUCUAUAGCUGGUCUGAGAGGAUGAUCAGCCACACUGGAACUGAGACACGGUCCAGACUCCUACGGGAGGCAGCAGUGGGGAAUAUUGGACAAUGGGCGCAAGCCUGAUCCAGCUAUGCCGCGUGAGUGAGGAAGGCCUUAGGGUUGUAAAACUCUUUCAGUAGGGAAGAUAAUGACGGU
Molecule: ribosomal RNA, 328 nt
Filed under: Anaplasma phagocytophilum
Lineage: Bacteria; Pseudomonadati; Pseudomonadota; Alphaproteobacteria; Rickettsiales; Anaplasmataceae
Description: bacterial SSU rRNA
Rfam family: Bacterial small subunit ribosomal RNA
Source: RNAcentral